CCUACGGGUGACAGCAGUGGGGAAUAUUGCACAAUGGGGGAAACCCUGAUGCAGCGACGCCGCGUGAGUGAAGAAGUAAUUCGGUAUGUAAAGCUCUAUCAGCAGGGAAGAAAAUGACGGUACCUGAGUAAGAAGCCCCGGCUAACGACGUGCCAGCAGCCGCGGUAAUACGUCGGGGGCAAGCGUUAUCCGGAUUUACUGGGUGUAAAGGGAGCGUAGACGGCAGUGCAAGUCUGGAGUGAAAGGCGGGGGCUCAACCCCCGGACUGCUCUGGAAACUGUACGGCUGGAGUGCAGGAGAGGUAAGUGGAAUUCCUAGUGUAGCGGUGAAAUGCGUAGAUAUUAGGAGGAACACCAGUGGCGAAGGCGGCUUACUGGACUGUAACUGACGUUGAGGCUCGAAAGCGUGGGGAGCAAACAGGAUUAGAUACCCGGGUAGUC
This 440-nucleotide ribosomal RNA is filed under the name uncultured bacterium. Its description in RNAcentral is "partial 16S ribosomal RNA". It matches the Rfam family "Bacterial small subunit ribosomal RNA", at positions 338 to 795 of the family's 1533-position model. The record is from RNAcentral.